RNA transcript from Otolemur garnettii (small-eared galago), 624 nucleotides. It is a transcript of the gene named protein yippee-like 5 pseudogene, with no coding region annotated. The transcript has a single exon. Lineage: Eukaryota; Metazoa; Chordata; Mammalia; Primates; Galagidae. The record is from RefSeq and is a predicted model, not a curated record.
UCCCAGCUGAGGAGCGAAGAGCUGCUGGCGGCCACAGAUCUCAUGACAGCUCAGGGUUUUUAGAACUUCAGUUAUAAAAAUGGGCAGAAUUUUCCUUGAACAUAUUGGUGGUACCCGACUGUUUUCUUGUGCAAACUGUGAUACAGUCCUGACAAACCGCUCAGAACUCAUCUCCACUCGGUUCACAGGCGCCACUGGCAGAGCAUUUCUUUUUAACAAGGUAGUUAACCUGCAAUACAGUGAAGUUCAAGAUCGGGUCAUGCUCAGUGGCCACCACAUGCUCAUCUGGUUCGAGAUGUGAGCUGCAAAAACUACAAUAGCAAACUGGGAUGGAUGAGUUUGCCACCGAAGACAGCCAGCAUUAUAAGGAAGGCCGUGAGAUCCUGGAACGUGCUCUAGUUCGGGAGAGUGAGGGCUUUGAGGAGCAUGAACCAUCUGAUAACUCUUGAAGAAAAAAAGAGAAAUCCAUCUUUUCCCAGGUCUCCUUCACUGAAAACAAAAAUCUACUUACAUACACUGUCACCUUAGCAUCAGAGUCAGAUUCAUGAACUGCGGAACAAGAGGUUGUGAGAAUCUAAGAUGGAACCUUUCUUUUUUUCUUUUUUUUUUUUUAAUUUUGUAUUU